UGGGAGGCAGCAGUAAGGAAUGUUGGACAAUGGCCGCAAGGCUGAUCCAGCCAUGCCGCGUGCAGGAAGACGGACCUAUGGUUUGUAAACUGCUUUUGAACCAGAGAAAACCCCCUUACGUGUAAGGGGCUGAUAGUAUGGUUAGAAUAAGCAUCGGCUAACUUCGUGCCAGCAGCCGCGGUAAGACGAAGGAUGCAAGCGUUAUCCGGAUUCAUUGGGUUUAAAGGGAGCGUAGGCGGAUUUGUAGUCAGUGGUGAAAUCUCUUCGCUUAACGAAGAAACUGCCAUUGAUACUGCAGAUCUUGAGUACAGUUGCCGCUGGCGGAAUAUGACAUGUAGUGGUGAAAUACUUAGAUAUGUCAUAGAACACCGAUUGCGAAGGCAGCUAACGAAGCUGUAACUGACGCUGAGGCUCGAAAGUGCGGGGAUCAAACAGGAUUAGAUACCCUAGUAG
RNAcentral lists this ribosomal RNA (453 nucleotides) under uncultured bacterium. RNAcentral's name for it is "bacterial SSU rRNA". It matches the Rfam family "Bacterial small subunit ribosomal RNA", at positions 342 to 793 of the family's 1533-position model. The record is from RNAcentral.